RNAcentral lists this long non-coding RNA (2656 nucleotides) under Pelobates cultripes (western spadefoot toad). The record is from RNAcentral. Lineage: Eukaryota; Metazoa; Chordata; Amphibia; Anura; Pelobatidae.
AACAUCACUAUUCCUAAGGUCUUAAUCCCCUAUAGUCUACAUGUGACCCAACGUCUCUGAGCACCUAGCCGUCUAAUCAUGAAACAAACCCGGCUUUGUCUGUGCUUUCUGUGCGUUAAAGUCAACUGUGUUUUGCUUAGAUAAUAAUCCAGUUAUAGGUGCCUGUGUCAUAUGUUUUAAAGCAGAGGAAGUCUGCCAAAUAGUCACUUUUCUCUGGUUAAAAACAUUGUUUUCUUGGCUCUCAGUAGAGCUUUUUUUUGUUUGUUUUUUUUCCUUUAUAAACACCUUACGUUGUUUUUUCUGCUGUCAAGCCCAUGGCAUCCAAAGAUCAGUUUUUGAACAUUCACUGCCGAACACUAGAGUAAAGUCUGAAUCUGUAGUUUAUCAGGGAGAUUAAUGAAGAAAAAACAACUCUUGAGCAAUGUGCUGAACAAUGACAGACAUUUUCCAGGCCUCCACGGCGAUUGCUACUUAUCAAGUAUUUUUCCCAGAAUACCACCUCAUUUUGCAUUAGUAAAUCUCCCCCCUUGUCUACAAAGGUAGAACAACAGCAAACCCUGCUGUCAUCAGGUCUUCUCAAAAACCACAAUGGCUCCCCGUUUACACUCAGAUUUUUUUUGUGGAUUACAUUUCUCAACCUAAAGACAGAUGGCUGUGCAUCAUGGGGAAUUUAUUUCACAAACAUAAAUUGCUGGGAUAAACUCAUUGUUUAUUAUUUCAAACACAGUACUUUCCACUUAUACGUUUAAUUCAUUUUAGCUUUUCACACUUCUGAGAUUGCUAGAAUUAAUACAAUUAUUGGAUAAUAAUAUCUACAACUAGUAAAAGGUAAAUGUAUCCAUCUUACUUGAAUGCCCGGUUUAGACCUCAGUUAGAUAAGGUAGACCUUAGAAUUUUAUAUUUUUUAUUUAGUCUGUAUGUACAGUAUACAAAAAAAUUGUUCAGCUUUCGAGAUGUUGUGUUUACCCUAUAGUUAAAAUAUUUUAACAAAUACAAUUUUUUAUGUUCAAAACAACUUAAGUACUUUAUAGCUAUUAUACCGUAUACUGCAUAAAUACCUCUAAAUUCCCUUUAUCUGACCAUAGAGGCACAGGCCAGUCUAACCUCCCAUCUCAAACAUACACAUCAUUGCACUUAAUACUUCACAUGAAAAAAAUUAUUGCAUAAUAAAAAAACAAAGUGCUCCACCUAGUGGAGAAAAGGUGCAACAGCUGACUUGUCUGUACGGAAAUCCAGCCUAUGCCUAUAGUAUUCAAAAAGCUUUUAUACGCUAUGACAUAUAAUAAACACACUUUCAGCAACUGCAGUGCAGAGGUGAUGUUGUUCAGAAACCCGAAUGCACAUGUUCUUGUAAGAUCAAUUGUAGCAGCAGGCCGUUUUUAAAAUAAUCACUUACUAGUUAUUUAAGGCUGUGCAACGUCACCCCUAUCAGCAGGCACAAGGUAGAGUUUUGAAGAGAUAAAAUGAUUCCUCACUAUUAAUUCUUCCCUUUGUAGCACGCUAUGAAUAUAAGAGUGACUUGAGUAUUUCCAAUAAUGAAAUGGUUAAUUGUUGCUGUGGGAGUUUUCACAAACCACAAAUGCUGAUAUAACUUUGAGCAAAUAAAAGAAAAUGUUCUAGGAAAAAAAUUUUGUGAACUAAUUAUAGAAAAUGUGAGCCAGACUUCAAAUAAAUUCCUGGAAUCUAUUAAUAUAUUGCCUUUUUUCUUUUUUUUACAUAAGCCUUUCACAGUUUAGUUCCAUGUGGUACAUCUUAAAAUGCAUUACGACAUUUGGAUGUUUUUUCUUCAGGAACAGUACACGGAUGUCAAAUAGCAGUCACUGAGUGCCACAGGAGAUGCAAGAUUCCAAAACAAUACGCAGUGUUGCACAGUGAUUGUCAGUGUUAAAGAGGAUUUGCCUUGUUUCUGUUUUUUGAUGUUAAGUAAGAAUCAUGGGCAACUGGAUUACCCAUAAUGCUCAGCCAAACAUCUGGCUACCAUCAUUGAUAUAUAUUGUUGCCCCCCCAGAUGUUUUGAACUACAACUCCCAUGAUUCCCUAGCAAUCAGCCAUAAUUCCCUAGCUAUCUGUUUCAUUUAAAAAAAAAAAAACCUGGGCGUUCUCUGUUUUAUUAAAUGAACCUUGGGCAUUGGCUAUAUGUUUUAUCCAAAGAAUCAUGAGCGUGGGGGUAGCUCAGGUUGUGCAGGCCUGCGUUAGACUUUUCUACUACCCAGUUAGAUAAUCGGACCCCCUAAAGCAAUUAACUGGAGUUAUAUCCUCUGGCAUGCCAGUUUUACCAAAAUUGCUGCUCUUCCACUGGCUAAGUUCAUCAUUACUGAUGAUCUAGCCAAUCCAAUGCUUCCUUUUAAAGAAGCAUUGUGAGGCUAGUGCAAUCGCCAUGACGCACCUAUAAGAAACUUCACAUAGAGAUGCAUCUCUAUGGGUAUUUGGUGUUUCCAUGCAGAUUAUGGAGAUGCCGAACACUGGUCUUGCAAUCUUUGCAGGACUGAAACCUGGUCAGAGUACCAGCAACUUAAAGUGGACACAGAAGGGAAUGUAUACAAUGCCUUUUCUUUUAGAAGGGCAUGGUUUACACAGCAGAGACUGUAGUAUAUUUGACCCUUAACCACUACAUUAAGCUGUAGUAGUUCUGUUGCAUAAAGUGUCCCUAAAUUAG